GACUCGUUAGCUCAGUAGGUCAGAGCACCGAUCUUAAAGUACUCUUGUUCAUCGGAGGGCGGAGGUUCAAGUCCUUCACGAGUCA
RNAcentral lists this transfer RNA (85 nucleotides) under Operophtera brumata (winter moth). It matches the Rfam family "tRNA". From Rfam's summary of the family: Transfer RNA (tRNA) molecules are approximately 80 nucleotides in length. Their secondary structure includes four short double-helical elements and three loops (D, anti-codon, and T loops). Lineage: Eukaryota; Metazoa; Arthropoda; Insecta; Lepidoptera; Geometridae. The record is from Rfam by way of RNAcentral.